AAGAAGAAGAAGAAGAAGAGGACCAAAGUGAUCAUGGGGCUGAAGUCAACUCCUGCGACUGAGACCGAGGAAGAAGUGAGCAUGUUCAAACCAGGAGCUCACCCGUCUCUACCCAAACACUCGUACUGGUUUGACUUCUGGGUGUUCGUGCUCUUCGACAUCGUCUUCUUCCUCUUCAUGUAUUUCAUUGUCCCGUAACCAGGAUUGUCUCCUGGACUGUGGAGCCUGAAGACACUGAGUGCUGGUCCUGCCCUGUCGUGAGGAAUGCUAACCGAGCUUUGACUGACUUUUCCUGCUGCGUUAUCUGACACAACACAUCGAGGUUCCACGCCCCGCACCAUGUGCCUUAAGUUUUAUACACGUAGCCUCCUGCUUUCAUAUCAGAUAUUUGAACCACACAACUCCCUCCUCCUGUGACCUGUUGCCAGCUGCUGUUACUUCAUGGUUGGAUUUAUUUGUUGCCACGUGAAAAAGAAACAAUUUAAUUAUUUAUAUUAUUGAAAAAUGGCAAUGGCAUCAUCAGGACUUGGAAAUGUCCAAAAAUUAACAUGUAAUAUCACUCAAAUGAUUUUUUAUGUAUUAUGACUAAUAUGGAAUUAUCCUGGUGGAUUGAAGCUGUGCAAUGUUUUUGAUGAAGUUGACACUGAAAUCAGAAUGAAUGGGCACACAAACUGAUUGUAUCAUAUUUUACGUGUUUUAGAUGAGUGUCUCCAAAUAAUCUGUUCAACAACAGAGUCAUGGAAAGAAAAGAUCAACCUCAAAUCUUAAAGGUUUGGUGAGAUCAAGAUGGUCCAGUGUGGGGUCACUUAGGAGAAAUUACAAUUUCAGUGCACUGAAAUGUUGACAGUUUGCACAGUGAACACGCUGCAAAUAAAUUGUUUAUACCAACCAAA
This is a long non-coding RNA of Limanda limanda (common dab), 893 nucleotides long. RefSeq lists it as uncharacterized. The transcript has 2 exons. The record is from RefSeq and is a predicted model, not a curated record. NCBI's taxonomy places the organism in Eukaryota, Metazoa, Chordata, Actinopteri, Pleuronectiformes, Pleuronectidae.